AAUGACGCGAAACUCCUGCCUUAAAGCCCUAAAUGGCGGCUUCAAUAUCAGUCCCACUGAGCAUGAAAUUCAUUUACUUAAAUAAAAUCUGAAUCUCAGCCCAAACCUGGGAGAUUCAAAACCUGAGAGCGGUCUUACCAAAGACGCCCGUAUGUCUGGUGAAGUCAGUUGGAUGCAAGCAGUUUGUGCUGGUACCAGGGCCCCAGCUACUGAUGAAGUGGCAGGAGUCCACAGAAGCCUACUUCGAAGUUCCCGGGGCUUCCAGGGGAGAUUGACGAGAUUCCUGGGGAGGCGAUUCAUGACAGCUGAGUUCCUUUUGGAGGAUCCGUCUUCAGGCAGUCUGAUCCCCCAGGAAAGCAGCUGGAAAACAAGAGCAUGUGAAGGAAGCGCAGCAGCUCCUCGCCAGCCAGACAGCCAGCCCCGCACCGCAGGAGUCGACAUGCACGGCAGCCUAGACGCCAUCAGUUAAACUUAUAUGUAGGCUUGUUGAGGAAAACGACUUUCAAACACAAGGCAAAAGAAAAACAUGAAACCAAGGGUUCCAACAUUCAUCAUCCAGUUUCAGAGACACCCUUGAAGGAAUGCUACAGCCUCUUUCUUACCCAUUCAAACCAGUCGCUCUGCUGCAUACCCACAUCACAGGAGGCCCUCAGCCCCGACACACAGGCUCACUCAGCCCGGGGACAUCAGCACCUGUGCCAGCUCCGCAAGGUAUCCACCAUGCGGCCAGAACUGAGGCCCAGCAAUAGCUGAAAUGUCCUUUAAAUUAACAUGUACAACACACAACCCCCAAGAGCUGACAUCCCCAAAGCCCCACCACAAAUAGCUGACUCCUACUUAUACCUGCAGGAGCAGGUAGUGACCUCUGCAAUUCUAAACCGUCCACUUUGGGCAAAAUUCAUCAAGCUAUGGAUAUGAAAAAAGGCCCCCAAGGAUAUGAUUCAUAGUCCAGCGUUUGAGUGAGCACUCCAGUCAGAACGAACUCUGCAUUGUGAACAUCUGAACAGGGUGGAAACAGACACUUUAGUUAGAGAUCCACUGCUGUGCGUGCACACAUACUCACACAGGGCAAUGACGGACUCGCUGGCGGACUCCACUCUACCCACCGAGUUCUGCUUGUGCUCCAUGAGCUUCCGGAAAGAUGGCUGCUUGGAUAACACCUUUCCUCCUGCACACUCUACGAUUGCCUUCAUAGUGGAAAGACUUGGGCAGAUUCCAGUAAAGAAAAGUUCUCUAGAGAUGUGCUGUGGUUCACAGGAGGAAGACCUCCAGUGGCAAUGUCCAAGAAGGAAGCCAAGAGUGUACCUUAAAGAGUGGAGAAACGUGUGCCCGUUUUAAGGAUUCUUCCAAGCUGAAAGAGAAAAGUACUUCUGCCUCAGCAUCUCGGAGAAUGUAGUUCUGCUCAUCUGGAAAACAGAACAGCACAUACUCUGAAAAGUGUGGACACGUGAAGUGUGGCAAGUGUGACCCACAAAAUUCUCGCCCAUAUUCAGCGUAUGGACCAGUUUGCUGACUGCUGGGCAGGAGCAACCACAUCAUGACAGAAAUGCAGGGAUCUGUUCACCAACGGCCAGAAAUACAAAAUCAAUCCCUGAGUCAACCAGCAGAUAGAAAGGCUGCUUUUUAGGUGAAAGGAGAAAAAGAAUGUCUAAAAUUUGGAAAAACAAAAAAUGAUGAAUUAAAAAAGGAACAAAAAAAGUACUGUUACACAUGAGAUGGUAUAUUUGAAGUGUUACUUUCAAAGCUGAUAUGCCUUCUGAAGAACUUGUGUGAGAUCACCAAGAAUAGUUAAUGUUUAUGAUAGAGAAAACACCACCGGGCGCGGUGGCUCACGCCUAUAAUCCCAGCACUUUGGGAGGCCGAGGUGGGCGGAUCUCUUGAGGUCAGGAGUUCAAGACCAGCCUGGCCAACAUGGUGAAACCCUGUCUCUACUAAAAAAUACAAAAAAAUUUAGCCAGGCGUCGUCGUGGUGGGCGCCUGCAGUCCCAGCUACUAGGGAGGCUGAGGCAGGAGAAUGGCUUGAACCCAGGAGGCAGAGGUUGUAGUAAGCCAAUGGCACCACUCUACUCCAGCCUGAGCAACAGACUGGGUGAGACUCUGUCUUAAAAAGAAAAGAAAGUAAUAUUGAAAAAUACAGUAAUACAGCUAAGACGAUCCUGUCACAGAUGAGACAUUGAGAUUUUGGUUUUUUCAAACAGGGUUAUGUUACCUUAGUAGUAGCAAUGUAAAGACUCAACCUGAACAUUAAACUUUUCAUGGAAGUACAAAAGAAAUGAGUAUCCUAGAAAUUGAUUAUAAUAUUGAUGUCUCAAAUUUUAUGUAAGUUACACAUAAAUAUAAAAUCCCAAAAACAUGCACCUACCAAAACAGGUGGAGAAAAGAGUGUUUUCAACAAAUGAUGCUGGAACAACUGCACAUCCAUAUGCAAUAAAAGGAAGCUGGACACAGACUUUACCCUCUUUUAAAAAAAACUGACCCAAAAAUGGAACACAGACCUAAAUGUAAAAUGCAAAACUAUGAAACUCCUAGAAGAUAACACAGGAGAGAAUCUAAGGGACCUUGAGUUUGGCAAUGACUUUUUAGAUACAACACCAAAGACACAAUCCAUGAAAGAAAUAAGAAGUAACCUGGACCUCACCUAUUAGAAUGGCCAAAACCCAGAGCACUAACACCAGCAUAUGCUGAGGAGGAUGUGGAGCAACAGGAGCUCCCAUUCACUGCAGGUGGGAAUGCAAAAUGGCACAGGCACUUCAGAAGACAGCCUGGCGGUUUCUUACAAAGCUAAACAUACUCUUACCAUAUGAUCAAGCAAUUGCAACCUUGUUGAUUUACCAAAAGGAGUUGAAAACUUACGUCCACACUAAAACCUGUACAUGGAUGUUUUAGCAGCUUUACUGCUAACUGCGAAAAUUUAGAAUCAGCUAAGAUGUCCUUGUGUAGGUGAGGGGCUGAACAGAUACAUUCUGACAAUGGAAUAUUAUUUAGUGCUAAAAAGAAAUGCUUUAUGAAGCCAUGAAAAGACAUGGAGGAAGCUGGGACGUAUAUUGCUAAGCAAAGGAAGCAAAUCUGAAAAUCCUAUAUACUGUAUGAUUCCCAAUAUGUAACAUUCUGGAAAGGGCAAGACUAUAGAAAGAAUAAAAGAUCAGUGGUUGCCAGGGGUCAGCAGGCAGGAAGGAAUGAGUGGGUGGAGCACAGAGGAUUUUCAGGGCAGUGGAACAACUCCAUAUGACGCUGUAAAGCAAAAUCAUGUCCUUACACAUUUGUUAAAACCCAAUGACUGUUCAAGGCCAAGAGUGAGCCCUAAUGUAACUAUGGACUUUGGGUGACUGGCCAAGAGUGAGCCCUAAUGUAACUAUGGACUCUGGGUGACUAGCCAAGAGUGAGCCCUAAUGUAACUAUGGACUUCAGGUGACUGGCCAACAGGGAGCCCUAAUGUAACUAUGGACUUCGGGUGACUGGCCAAGAGUAAGCCCUAAUGUAACUAUGGACUUUGGGUGACUAUGACCCAAAUGUCAAUGUAGCUUCAUUAACAGUUAAUAAACAUUUCACUGUGGUGUGGGAUGGUGACUGUAGUGGGGGUGGCGGUGUGUGUGCAUGGGUAUGGGCUGGGGUAUAUGGGAACUCACUGUACUUUCUGUAAUUUUGCUGUGAACUUAAAACUGCCCUAAAAAUUGUCUAUUUUUAAAAAACAAUAAUUAUAAACUGGAAAAAUUCUCUUAGGAAAUCCUAAAAUAUGGAAGAUAAAAUAUGAAAUGUUUUCUCAGUAUUAAAUGUUUAUAACAACCACUUUCUAACCCUCAGAGAGCAACACAGCAAAUACUUAUUAACAGUGCCAUAAAGAAAUAAAAGCUAGUCAACCAAAACUUCCCAUUAAAUAGGAACUGUAAACUUUAUAUACAGAUAAAACAACCACAUUUUCACAAACUGAAACUUGAAAAAUUAAGUAAAUUGGUCAUUCACUAAAUUGGCUGCUUGGCAAACUAAUUUUCAAAGAAUUAGCAUGUUCUUGGUUGGAAAAGAAAAAGAAUAAGCAAAGUCAGAAAGUAACAAAAAAGAUCUCUAAAGCUGGGUGUUGCCCAAAAGCAGCCGAUGGAGCCAACCAGAGGCUGGAACAUUACAGACCCGCUUUCCCCACCACCCAAGCUGGUGUAUGCCAUGCUCCCACAGCAGAAGCUAAAAAAGUACACUUACUAUUUCUAUUAACGAAUAGACUAUCUCCUUCUAAACUGUAUAACAUUAUAUGAAAUUGGAAGCUAAAAUGUUUGUAGUAAUUGUUUCUACUAUGUUCUUCUUCUGCCUUCAUUGUUAAGUUUUAUGUUUCAUUAAUACCUUUUUAGAGUCAAAAAAUUUUCAAAAUUUCAAUUAAAAAAAUUUCUAAAUACCA
Molecule: long non-coding RNA, 4384 nt
Filed under: Homo sapiens (human)
Lineage: Eukaryota; Metazoa; Chordata; Mammalia; Primates; Hominidae
Description: lncAB536.1
Source: RNAcentral